UACGGAGGAUGCGAGCGUUAUCCGGAUUUAUUAGGUUUAAAGGGUGCGUAGGCGGGACUUUAAGUCAGUGGUGAAAUCCUGCGACUCAACCGUAGAACUGCCAUUGAUACUGAAGACCUUGAGUUCAGCUGAGGUAGGCGGAAUAUGUUAUGUAGCGGUGAAAUGCAUAGAUAUAACAUAGAACACCGAUUGCGAAGGCAGCUUACCAAACUGUAACUGACGCUGAUGCACGAAAGCGUGGGUAGCGAACAGG
Molecule: ribosomal RNA, 253 nt
Filed under: uncultured bacterium
Lineage: Bacteria
Description: partial 16S ribosomal RNA
Rfam family: Bacterial small subunit ribosomal RNA
Source: RNAcentral